Long non-coding RNA from Psammomys obesus (fat sand rat), 837 nucleotides. RefSeq lists it as uncharacterized. The transcript has 3 exons. The record is from RefSeq and is a predicted model, not a curated record. Lineage: Eukaryota; Metazoa; Chordata; Mammalia; Rodentia; Muridae.
CCCCCGGCGGCCGCCUCUGCACCAGUCGCCAACCUCCGCGGCGGGCCGAGGUCAUGCCCGCCUGCCCCCGGCGCCGGCGAGGCCCCCUCCCUGUGCCAGGCGGCAAGCCGGAGAUGCGCCGGCAGGGAAGGGGGAUCGGCGGCAGAGUUGGCACCCGGACUCACCAGGGAAAACAGGAACAAACCUCUUCUUGUCCUAGUUAAGACACAGGUGACAGACUGAAGACAUGAGUCAAUCCAAGUGUAUACAGCAUGGUAACCAUUGCUGCAAUGAGUUCCUGAGUGCAAGGCCGUGUCAUGUCAGAAGACAGAACUUCACAGCAUGCCUCCCCAUCCUCAGCCUCUUAAAUUCUUUCCAUCCCUUCUUCUGUGAUGUUUCCUGAGCCUUGUGGGGCAGGGGGAAUGGAUAUGGAUGUUCCAUUUAGAGAAAAAAAGCUGAAAAGUCACUUACUCUGACCAGUUAUGUGCCUCAGCAUCAGCUGCUGACCGUUACAGAAUGAAGCCUCUCUGGCCAAAGAUGUGGGCAGGGCUAAUCUAUAAGCCCUGCCUUUCUUAAGUUUUUUUUUUUUUUUUCAAAUUCUUUGUCAUAUCGAUGAAAACUAACUGAUGCAGAUGCGUAUCAAAGCAGUGGACUUUAAGAAUCACUGCCUGACAUCUCCCCAAGUCCCCCUUCUAAACUGCCCCACAGCAUUUAUAGACAGGUGGUAAAGAAAGGGAAAAGUAGUGAAGGAGAAAGGGAAUAACACAUCUUCGACUUUGGAUAAUAGGCAGGCAAGAUCAGGUUUCUCUGCCAAGAAUCCUGUGCCUCCAACUUUUUACACAUUAAACCUAAUCAGUU